Molecule: ribosomal RNA, 734 nt
Filed under: uncultured bacterium
Lineage: Bacteria
Description: bacterial SSU rRNA
Rfam family: Bacterial small subunit ribosomal RNA
Source: RNAcentral
CCCUUAGAGUUUGAUCCUGGCUCAGAUUGAACGCUGGCGGCAUGCCUUACACAUGCAAGUCGAACGGUAACAGGGAGCUUGCUCCGCUGACGAGUGGCGAACGGGUGAGUAAUACAUCGGAACGUGCCCAGUAAUGGGGGAUAGCUCGGCGAAAGCCGGAUUAAUACCGCAUACGCCCUGAGGGGGAAAGUGGAGGACCGCAAGGCCUCACGUUAUUGGAGCGGCCGAUGGCUGAUUAGCUAGUUGGUAGGGUAAAGGCCUACCAAGGCGACGAUCAGUAGCUGGUCUGAGAGGACGAUCAGCCACACUGGGACUGAGACACGGCCCAGACUCCUACGGGAGGCAGCAGUGGGGAAUUUUGGACAAUGGGGGAAACCCUGAUCCAGCAAUGCCGCGUGUGCGAAGAAGGCCUUCGGGUUGUAAAGCACUUUUGUCAGGGAAGAAAUCCUUUGGGCUAAUACCCUAGGGGGAUGACGGUACCUGAAGAAUAAGCACCGGCUAACUACGUGCCAGCAGCCGCGGUAAUACGUAGGGUGCAAGCGUUAAUCGGAAUUACUGGGCGUAAAGCGUGCGCAGGCGGUUGUGUAAGACAGGUGUGAAAUCCCCGGGCUUAACCUGGGAAUUGCAUUUGUGACUGCACGACUAGAGUGUGUCAGAGGGGGGUGGAAUUCCACGUGUAGCAGUGAAAUGCGUAGAUAUGUGGAGGAACACCAAUGGCGAAGGCAGCCCCCUGG